This 273-nucleotide long non-coding RNA is filed under the name Mytilus galloprovincialis (Mediterranean mussel). Lineage: Eukaryota; Metazoa; Mollusca; Bivalvia; Mytilida; Mytilidae. The record is from RNAcentral.
CAAAAAUGUCGGUUAUUGAUUUGGGGAUGUACGGCGGGCGGUCGGUCGGGCGGGCGGCAACCAAAUGUUGUCCGUGCAUUUACUCAUGAACCCUUCAACCAAAGCUUUUAAAAUUUUAAUAUGUUGUUACUGACAACAAAAUGAAGGUCAAGUUCAAUAAUGACGAUUUUGACUUUUACCGUUCAGGAGUUAUGGUUCUUGGAAGAUUGAAAAAUUGCAUUUCCGUUCGUGUCCGUGUAUUUACCCAUGAACUGUUCAACCAAAGCUUCCCAA